RNAcentral lists this ribosomal RNA (435 nucleotides) under uncultured bacterium. RNAcentral describes it as "partial 16S ribosomal RNA". It matches the Rfam family "Bacterial small subunit ribosomal RNA", at positions 28 to 507 of the family's 1533-position model. The record is from RNAcentral.
GAUGAACGCUGGCGGUAUGCUUAACACAUGCCAGUCGAACGGACUCUUCGGAGUUAGUGGCGGACGGGUGAGUAACGCGUGAGAAUCUGGCUUUGGGUUCGGGACAACCACUGGAAACGGUGGCUAAUACCGGAUGUGCCGAGAGGUAAAAGAGAAAUUGCCUGAAGAUGAGCUCGCGUCUGAUUAGCUAGUUGGUGAGGUAAAGGCUCACCAAGGCAGCGAUCAGUAGCUGGUCUGAGAGGAUGACCAGCCACACUGGGACUGAGACACGGCCCAGACUCCUACGGGAGGCAGCAGUGGGGAAUUUUCCGCAAUGGGCGAAAGCCUGACGGAGCAAUACCGCGUGAGGGAAGAAGGCUCUUGGGUUGUAAACCUCUUUUCUUAGGGAAGAACAAAAUGACGGUACCUAGGGAAUCAGCAUCGGCUAACUCCGUG